Molecule: ribosomal RNA, 253 nt
Filed under: uncultured bacterium
Lineage: Bacteria
Description: partial 16S ribosomal RNA
Rfam family: Bacterial small subunit ribosomal RNA
Source: RNAcentral
UACGUAGGGGGCAAGCGUUGUCCGGAAUCAUUGGGCGUAAAGCGCGUGUAGGCGGUUCGGUAAGUCUGCUGUGAAAGUCCAGGGCUCAACCCUGGGAUGCCGGUGGAUACUGUCGGGCUAGAGUGCGGAAGAGGCGAGUGGAAUUCCUGGUGUAGCGGUGAAAUGCGCAGAUAUCAGGAGGAACACCAAUUGCGAAGGCAGCUCGCUGGGACGUGACUGACGCUGAGACGCGAAAGCGUGGGGAGCAAACAGG